UGAGCCACCACACCUGGCCAGCAAUUAGCUUUUUUAAAAAAAGGAAAACCAGGCCAGGUGCGGUAGCUCAUACCUGUAAUCCCAACAUUUUGGGAAGCCAAGGAAGGAGGCUCGAUUGAGCCGAGGAAUUCAAGGCUGCAGUAAGCCAUGAUCAUGCCACUGCACUCCAGCCUGGACAACAGAGUGAGACCCCAUGUCUAAAUAAAUAAAUAAAUAAAUAAAAGGAAAACCAAAUGUAAUGUUAUUUUUGUCAAUAUAAUCAGAUGAAGUUGUUAUCAAGAGGAAUAAAGUAGCUGAACUUCCUGAAUAGAAAAGGUGAUUUCAAGAUAUUUUCUAUGUUUAUUAACUGUUGUUUAAAUGUCCUUUAUGGAUCUGGAGAAACAAAAAAUGAUAUAGAUUUCAUGCAUGUAAACCAUGCUGGUCAAUAAAAAUCCGCCAAACCUUCUAUGUCAAUGGUCAAUAAAUGCAGCUUUAUAAUCAUAGAUACUACUAGAAAAAUUAAAAUCAUCAGCCUCAGGUAAUCUGGUUAUUUGCUUUAUUUGCAGCUAUAUUUUCACAGCCAGCAGUAUUAGCAUCUCCAUGUGCCCAAAUCAGAAUCCUACAGAUAAAACUUGAAAUCUACUAACAAUCAAAGUCACUUUUGACAACAGAGUUGGUUCCUAUUUCUUCUCCAGAUGAAAUGGUGCAUCUUGAAUCAGGCCAGCUCUGUGUGCAGGGCUCCAUGGCGCCUAGGCUGCACAGGUCACAGUCACCUAGGAGGCCACACCAUGACAGCCCCACCACAGGACCUAACAAGAAUGCACAGCUGGCCCAACAAGACCGAUUAUAAUCAGCUUCGUGUUGUUUUAUUUUACUCUCUUCAUUUGAUAGAAACAAAAUCACCAAAUUCAAAAGAUUACUAAGCAGCAAAGGUGAAUGAAGCAGACAGCUAAUAUCAGACACCAUUUCAAAAGCAACUGCCCGGAUAAGCCUCUAAUGGAAUUUCCUAGUUUACAGCUCUGAAGAUGAAGAAGUUAGUGACACAUGCUGGUAAUACGUGGAGCCCUUCAGUACAAUUUCACAAGAGGCAGAAAGGAAUCAUGUUUGCUCCUCUUCCACCUCAACACACAACCUCUGAGAUGGAGGGAGCCUCCCUGCCGAAAGAGUCUCCGCCUGGAAUUGAAAGACCCACUCUGCUCCUCACUGAUGUGCUCUCAGUCUCCUCAUCUGUAAAAUGGAGACAAUCAAAUCACACCUGUGCUGCCCACCUCAGGAUCAUUGCUGCGAGGACCGAGCAAGAUGACGCGUGUGAAAGAGGGGCAAAACUGCCAAGUCCUCCACACAUAGAAGUCAUGCGGACUCUGCAGACGUCUCGCCAUUCUAUUCUAAUUUGGGAGCUAAUUCUUUAUUAAAAUUUUAUUUUUAUACCCUCCGUGU
This 1416-nucleotide long non-coding RNA is filed under the name Homo sapiens (human). RNAcentral's name for it is "HSALNT0335630". Lineage: Eukaryota; Metazoa; Chordata; Mammalia; Primates; Hominidae. The record is from RNAcentral.